UACGUAGGGGGCUAGCGUUGUCCGGAAUCAUUGGGCGUAAAGCGCGUGUAGGCGGUCCGGUAAGUCCGCUGUGAAAGUCGGGGGCUCAACCCUCGAAUGCCGGUGGACACUGUCGGGCUAGAGUACGGAAGAGGCGAGUGGAAUUCCUGGUGUAGCGGUGAAAUGCGCAGGUAUCAGGAGGAACACCAAUUGCGAAGGCAGCUCGCUGGGACGUUACUGACGCUGAGACGCGAAAGCGUGGGGAGCAAACAGG
Molecule: ribosomal RNA, 253 nt
Filed under: uncultured bacterium
Lineage: Bacteria
Description: partial 16S ribosomal RNA
Rfam family: Bacterial small subunit ribosomal RNA
Source: RNAcentral